RNAcentral lists this ribosomal RNA (1484 nucleotides) under uncultured bacterium. Its description in RNAcentral is "bacterial SSU rRNA". It matches the Rfam family "Bacterial small subunit ribosomal RNA". The record is from RNAcentral.
AGAGUUUGAUCCUGGCUCAGGAUGAACAUUGGCGGCGUGGAUAAGGCAUGCAAGUCGAACGGGAACAUAAUGUUUUGCGUAAGUAAAAUUGUAUGUUCCAGUGGCGAACGGGUUAGUAACGCGUAGAUACAUCCCAUAGAGUUUGGCAUAGCCCAUCGAAAGGUGGGAUAAUUCCAAAUAGUCCCUGAGAGCAAUCGAAGGGUAAAGGAGCAAUCCGCUCUAUGAUUGGUCUGCGUCCCAUCAGCUUGUUGGUGAGGUAAUGGCUCACCAAGGCAAUGACGGGUAGGGGGUGUGAGAGCACGACCCCCAACAGGGAAACUGAGACACGGUUCCCACUCCCACGGGAGGCAGCAGUCGAGAAUCUUCGACAAUGGGCGAAAGCCUGAUCGAGCGACGCCGCGUGCGGGACGAAGGUCUUCGGAUUGUAAACCGCUUUUCUAGAGGAAGAAACCAAUGUUUACAUUGGUUGACGGUACUCUAGGAAUAAGAGGUGACUAAACUCGUGCCAGCAGUAGCGGUAAUACGAGUGCCUCAAAUGUUAUCCGGAAUUAUUGGGCGUAAAGCGUCCGUAGGCGGCUCUGCAAGUUUCUUGUUAAAAACUUUGGCUUAACCAAAGAAUUGCGAGGAAAACUGCAGAGCUUGAGGGUGUUAGAGGUUGGUGGAACUCACGGUGUAGGGGUGAAAUCCGUUGAUACCGUGGGGAACACCGAAAGCGAAAGCAGCCAACCAGGGCAUUCCUGACGCUGAGGGACGAAAGCGUGGGUAGCGAUACGGAUUAGAUACCCGUGUAGUCCACGCCCUAAACGAUGCUGACUAGCUAUUUGGAGUGUCGACCCUUCAAGUGGCAAAGCUAACGCGUUAAGUCAGCCGCCUGGGAAGUACGGCCGCAAGGCUAAAACUCAAAGGAAUAGACGGGGGUUCGCACAAGCGGUGGAUCACGUGGCUUAAUUCGACGACAAGCGAAGAACCUUACCAGGGCUUGACAUGCCAAGGUGUAGUCUUACUGAAAGGCAAGGCGACCGUUAAUUCGGAGCUUGGCACAGGUGCUGCAUGGUUGUCGUCAGCAUGAGUCUUGAGAUGCUCCCUUAAAUGGGGUAUCAUGCGCAACCCUUAUUGCUUGUUUUACGUAUCAAGCGAGACUGCCUGUGUUUUCACAGGAGGAAGGAGGGGAUGACGCCAAAUCCGCAUGGCCCUCACGCCCUGGGCUGCACACGUGAUACAAUGGCCGGUACAAUGGGUUUGCUAAGCGGUAACGCGGAGCUAAUCCCACCAAAACCGGUUUCAGUUCGGAUUGAGGUCUGCAACCCGACCUCAUGAAGCUGGAAUCGCUAGUAAUCGCGGAUCAGCCACGCCGCGGUGAAUAUGUCCCCGAACCUUGUACUCACCGCCCGUCACACCAGGGAAGUCGGCAGUAGUUUAAGUCCCAACUUAGAUUGGGCCCAAACUAAGGUCGAUAACCAAGGUGAAGUCGUAACAAGGUAACC